UAGCCAGUGAUGGCAUGCGAAUCUCGAAAGCCUAUCUCAGUUCGGAUUGGAGGCUGAAACCCGCCUCCAUGAAGUUGGAUUCGCUAGUAAUCGCGCAUCAGCCAUGGCGCGGUGAAUACGUUCCCGGGCCUUGUACACACCGCCCGUCAAGCCAUGGGAGCCGGGGGUGCCUGAAGUUCGUUACCGCAAGGAUCGACCUAGGGCAAAACUGGUGACUGGGGCUAAGUCGUAACAAGGUAAC
Molecule: ribosomal RNA, 241 nt
Filed under: uncultured bacterium
Lineage: Bacteria
Description: partial 16S ribosomal RNA
Rfam family: Bacterial small subunit ribosomal RNA
Source: RNAcentral